GGGGCUGUGGUUCAGUGGAAGAGCAUUCGCUUGGCAUACAGAAGGGCACGGGUUCAAGCCCUGGCAUUUCCA
Molecule: transfer RNA, 72 nt
Filed under: Sphaerodactylus townsendi
Lineage: Eukaryota; Metazoa; Chordata; Lepidosauria; Squamata; Sphaerodactylidae
Description: tRNA-Ala
Rfam family: tRNA
About the family: Transfer RNA (tRNA) molecules are approximately 80 nucleotides in length. Their secondary structure includes four short double-helical elements and three loops (D, anti-codon, and T loops).
Source: RNAcentral